This 1984-nucleotide small RNA is filed under the name Pan troglodytes (chimpanzee). RNAcentral's name for it is "retained intron". The record is from RNAcentral. Lineage: Eukaryota; Metazoa; Chordata; Mammalia; Primates; Hominidae.
CUCUUCGUUAAGUCGUCCUUCCCAACAUGGCGCAGUCUAUUAACAUCACGGAGCUGAAUCUGCCGCAGCUAGAAAUGCUCAAGAACCAGCUGGACCAGGAAGUGGAGUUCUUGUCCACGUCCAUUGCUCAGCUCAAAGUGGUACAGACUAAGUAUGUGGAAGCCAAGGACUGUCUGAACGUGCUGAACAAGAGCAACGAGGACGGAAUUUCGCUCUGUCGCCCAGGCUGGAGCGCAAUGGUGAGAUCUUGGUUUACUGCAACCUCCGCCUCCCGAGUUCAAGAGAUUCUUCUGUCUCAGUCUCCCGAGUAGCUGGGACUUUAGGUACGCGCCACCACGACCGGCUAAUUUUUGUAUUAAUAGUAGAGUUGGGGGUUUCACCAUAUUGGCCAGGCUAGUCUCGAACUCCUGACCUCGUGAUCCGCCUGCCUCGGCCUCUCAAAGUGCUAGGAUUACAUUACAGGCGUGAGCCACUGCCCCCGGCCAAGAAUACUCUUAUUACACACUUUGUAGCUCUUUUAUCUGACUUCACACCAACAUCCAGCUAAUGUCUUGUGAACACCAAGGAGUAUGUAUAGUUGAGAUGUAAUAUUUCCCUUUGCUGUUUGAGAACAUUAAUAUGGAGAUAAAGCUGGUGGUUUACACUUUGCUAAUAUCUUAGAAGAUACAGGCAAUAGACAAAAAUAGGAGGAUAUAGAAACAGGGAGCUUGGCUCUGUUAAUUAAUCUUCAACUUCAGCUUAAUUGUGGCUCAUUUCUAAACUGUCACUAAGAAACCUGGAUUGUGUUCACUUGUUCAGUGUUUUAUUUGAAUGAGCAAGUUAUGGCAGUAGGGCAUCUUUAAUCUGUAGUCUCAGAACUGACAGGCUAAAAGGAACACAGGAAUAGUAGUGUGUAGUAGGGAAUGGUUUAAAAAAAAAAAAAAUUAGCCAGGCACAGUGGUUCACGCCUGUAAUCCCAGCACUUUGGGAGGCCAAGGCUGGCAGAUCACCUGAGGUCAGGAGUUAGAGAUCGGUCUGGCCAACAUGGUGAAACCCCGUCUCUACUAAAUAUACAAAAAUUAGCCAGGCGUGGUGGCACAUGCUUGUAAUCCCAGCUACUCCGGCGACUGAGACAGGAGAAUUGCUUUAACCCGGGAGGCAGAGGUUGCAGUGAGCCGAUAGCGGGCAAUUGCACUCCAACCUGGGCGAUAGAGCGAGACUCUAUCUCACAAAGCAAAAAACAAACAAAACAUUGACUUUGUCAGGAAUUAGCUACUUCAUGAUUGAGGGCAUUAAGGGAAAUGAGGCUGGCUUUUUACUUGUAGUACUCUACAACAGUAGGAAAACAUUAGUCUUUCUGGAGGGGCUAAUGGGAAGAAUUGCAAGAACUGCUUAGAGAGUGAGAGUUGGGAUGAGGCAGGACAAGAGGGUGUUCCAGCAUACAUCAUUUUCUCCUUAAAGAACCAACUUCUCUGUCUUCUUUCCAUUUGGAGUUAUAGGUAUUGUUCUAAGGCCUCCAGAUUAUUCAGUCCUUAUGCCUUGUAGCUUUUUGGAAAAGGAGGGUCUUUGGACGCCAAGCAGGCUGGCUGGCGGAAUCAUGGCUCAUGCUGGGCUGGCUAGUUUUUCCCUUAAUUCUUGCUUCUCAGAUGUAUGUCCCUGGGAAGCUGCAUGAUGUGGAACACGUGCUCAUCGAUGUGGGAACUGGGUACUAUGUAGAGAAGACAGCUGAGGAUGCCAAGGACUUCUUCAAGAGGAAGAUAGAUUUUCUAACCAAGCAGAUGGAGAAAAUCCAACCAGCUCUUCAGGAGAAGCACGCCAUGAAACAGGCCGUCAUGGAAAUGAUGAGUCAGAAGAUUCAGCAGCUCACAGCCCUGGGGGCAGCUCAGGCUACUGCUAAGGCCUGAGAGUUUUUGCAGAAAUGGGGCAGAGGGACACCCUUUGGGCGUGGCUUCCUGGUGAUGGGAAGGGUCUUGUGUUUUAAUGCCAAUAAAUGUGCCAGCUGGGC